Molecule: long non-coding RNA, 282 nt
Organism: Ciona intestinalis (vase tunicate)
Lineage: Eukaryota; Metazoa; Chordata; Ascidiacea; Phlebobranchia; Cionidae
Source: RefSeq, a predicted model, not a curated record
AGUGUGAAAAUCUGCGAAAAGCACUUUCUUUCAGACGAUUUUCUUAUGGGUACAUGUUCAAAACAACUUAAAGUUGGUGCAUUGCCAACAGUAAAUCUGCCAAAGACCACACCAGAACCAAAAAAUAGAAAGGCACCAUAUACAAGAAAGCCAUUACCAGAGUAUACCUCCUUCUUAAAGUUCAAAUUGGAUGCCAAAAAAUAUUGCAAUGCUAAUGAAUUGGAUUUUCAAGACAACCCCAACUGGAUCUGCAUAGAACACAACCUUCUUUGUACGAUCAAC